Molecule: long non-coding RNA, 8140 nt
Organism: Cebus imitator (Panamanian white-faced capuchin)
Lineage: Eukaryota; Metazoa; Chordata; Mammalia; Primates; Cebidae
Exons: 2
Source: RefSeq, a predicted model, not a curated record
UAGUCAGUGUCAUGGCAUGUACCUGCAGUGCAACCUAUUUGGGAGGCUGAAGUGGGAGAAUUGCUUGAGCCCAAGAGAUUGAGGCUUCAGUAAGCUGAGAUCAUGCCAUGCACUCCAUUGUGGGUGACAGAGCAAGACCCUGUCUCAAAACAACCCUCAAAAUUUAGCAGCUUAAAACAACAAUCAUCUCCUACAAUUCCGAUAACUGAAUGAGCUCAGCUGAGCAGUUCUUCAUAUGAUAUAUGAUUUAAUUAAUCUGAGGGAUAAAUUAAAAGGUCCAAUAUGGCUAACUUGUAUGGCCGUUAGCUGGCACUAUCAGGUGGGAUCUCAGCUGGGGUGGUUAGUUGCAGCACCCUGAUUCUCCUCCAUGUGGCUUGAGCUUUUUUUUAGCUUGGUGGGAUUCUAAGCAUGACCAUCUCAAGAGUGUUCCCAGGGGGAAGGAAUUAGAAACUGCUAGUCCUCCUAAGUGCUGGGCUCAGAAGUCCCAGAACAGUUACUCCCUCACAUUCCAUUGGUCAGAGCAAUUGCAGGGCCAGUCCGGAUUCAAAGGGGGAAGAUAUAAGCAUGUAGAAUGGGGAUGUUGUAAACCAUCUUUAGAGACUAGUUACCACACCUGUCUGCACAGGUACUUCCCUGCUCUGAAAUGCUCCUUUCCUGGCAGACCUUCACUCAUACUGCAAGAUGCAGCUUAUAAUUUAGUACCCAUGUAGAGCUUUUCCCUGUCAUCUCCAGUUCAUAUAGUCAGUUAGACAAAACUAGAUGACGAAAUUGUUAGAGUGAGAGUGUCCAGGGAAGGUAACCAUGUUGUCACCAGCUCUUUAGUAACUGCAACAGUGAAAGUAUUUGCAAUUGAACUUGUAAGUGUCUGCUUCUGGUCAGUACUAAUUUCACCUAGAGUGCCAUACCGUCUGUACUAGAGUUUCAACAUGAGGCCUACAACACAGAAGAUAGUGAAAAUUCAGUGGGGAUAAUGGAAAAGGAGAAAAAAAAAUGUAUUUCAAAUACUCAGUUUAGGAAGAAAGGACCAUAUAUGAAACACUUAAUUAAAAAUUUCAGGAAAAUUGCUAUUUUAGUCUUGAAAGGUUGAAACUUACCUGGAAAAAUAAUUUUUCCAGCAUAGUGCAUUUUCUGAUUCUAGGAAUGCCAGAUAAAAUAUUAUGCCAUAUAAUUAACAAGAAAAAUGGAAGUUACCUGAGGUGUUUAAGUAAGGAGAGAUUUAAUACACAAAAUUCGAUGAUGAAGUUGUUAGAAGGGCUGGGGGAUCAAAAAGAGGUGGUGUUGCUCAGAAAUGAGGAAGUGUAGGAAGCUACUUCUUCCUCUGGAGCCAGCAGUCAUCUGCAGAAUUUGACUCAUACAACAACCCAUACUACACAUGACUUUAACAGAGUUGUGCUCCUCUGUGCCCCAUGCAGCCAGUGCUGCCACUAUAAGUAUCCAAUGUCUAGCUGCUACCCAGGUUCUACAGGAGCCUACUCUUAUGACAGUUGGGUAUCAUACUCUGCUGGUACCACCACUACCUGAGCCAGAAGAUUGUUUCCAUGUUGUUUAGCUUUUCAAUCUCUUGCAAACGCCUACAGUUGACAGAACCCUAACAGGAUCCCUUUGAGGUGGUGAAAAUGGCUGAAUAGAAGCCUUCACCAGUCAUCCUCCCCACAGGAACACCAAAUUGAACAACUAUCCACACAAAAAAAGCACCUUCAUAAGAACCAAAAAUCAGGUCAGUGGUCACAAUACCUGGCUUUACCUUUUUAUUACUGAAAGGAACUUAAGAGGGUAGGAAAGACAAAGGGUUCCCUUCUGGCCCAUGGUAUGUCUAGAAAUGUCAUCUGGGAGCUAGGGCCUGGAAUGGUAGUCUCAGGACUCCUGGUGUCCUAUCCUGCUGUGGCUGACUAGACAAAGCCCUCUUUAUUCUUAAGCAGAAGGAAGGAGUCUCCCAGAGCUGUGCUGCCUUGGGUUAGGGCAGGCGUGGUGCAAGUAUUCUUUUGGCUACUCAACUGGCGUCUUACUGGAUUGCAUGCCCCUGAAGUUCACUGGCUCCAGGCCCAGUACAGCCUGAGAACUUGCCCAAGAAUUGCAGCCCUUGUGGCCUGGACUGAAUUGCCAACCCCUCCCCUAUCCCGUGUCAGCAUCAAGUGACGUAGAGAGAGAAUCUGUGAGCUAAGGAGGGGAGAGCACAGUGAUUAUGGGACUUUGCAUUGGAAUUGCACAGUCAGAUCACAGGAGAAAGUAACGCCAGGCAGAAUUCAGCCAGUGCCCACAGAGGGAGCAUUUAGAUGAAACCUAGUCUAAGGAGAAUUGCCCAUCCAAGUGGUUGGAACCUGUGUUCUGGCAAGCCUUACCACUGCAAGCUACAGGGCUCUGGGGUUUUAAAAAAACUUGAAAGUCAGUUUAGGCCACAAGGGCUGCAGUUGCUGGGCAAGUCCUCAUGCUGUACUGGACUUGGAGCCUGUAGACUUGGGGGUAUGCAACCCAGUGAGACACCAGCUGGGCAGCAAAGGAAAUGCUUGCACCAUCUCUCCCCCAACCCAAGGCAUUGCAGCUCUAGGAAAGGCUCCUUUCUUCCACUUGAAAGGAGAGAAAAGAAUAAUGAGGACUUGGUCUUGCAACUUGGAUACCACCUCAGCCACAGAAUAGGACACACAGCAUAUUCCUGAGGUCCCCAUUUUAAGCCCUAACUCCCAGGUGACAUUUCUAGACACACCAUGGACCAGAAAGGAACCCUCUGCUUCGAAGGGAGGGGCCCAGUCGUGGCAGAAUUCAUCACCUGCUAAGAAGCCUUUGGGCUGUGAAAAAUAAGCAGUGGUACCCAGGCAAUAUUCACCAUAGGCCUCGAAUGAGACUCGGGGACAUGCUGACCUUAGAUGUGAGCCAGCACAUUCUCUGCUGUGGUAGCUACAGGGAAGAAUUCCUGCUUGCGAAAAGGAGGUGGGAGAAUAAAGAGGACUUGGCCUUUCAGCUUUAGAUACCAGCUUGGCCAGAGUUGGGUAGAGCACCAAGCAGGCUCUUGGGAUCCCCGAUUCCAGGCCGUGGCUUGUGGAUGGCAUUUCUGGACCUGCCCUGGAUCAGAGAGGAGUCCACUGCCCUGAAGAGAGGGUCCCAGGCCUGGUAGCAUUCACCCCAAGUUGACUGAAGAGCUUUCGGCUUUGAAUGAACAUUGGAGGUAGCCAGGUGGUAUUUACUGUGGGCUUGGGUCAGUAGUGGCCAUGGAAAGAGACUCCUCUGGUUGUAGAAAGAGGAGGGAAGAGUGAGAAGGACUUUGGAUGCCAGUUCAGCCACAGUAGCAUAGAACACCAGGUAGAUUCCUAAUGUUUAAAAAUCCAGGCCUUGGUUCUCAGGUGGCAUCUCUGGACCUGCCCAGGACUUGGGGUGGGAUGGUGGGGAGAGAACUUGUUGCCCUGAAGGGAAGGAUGCAAGCCUGACUUUGCCAUUUGCUGACUGUAAGGCCCUAGGACCUUGAGCAAACAGGUGGUAGCUAGGCAAUAUGGCUGCAGUGACUAAAGACUUAGAUCACAACACCCAAGUUUCUUCAAAUACCUGGAAAGCCUUCUCAAGAAGAAAGUCAGAAACUAGGGUCUGAAAUCAGGGUACAAACAAGUUAAAACUGUGAAGACUACAAUAAACUCUCGAAUGCCCAAACACUGACAAAUAACCACAAGCAUCAAGACGCUCCAAGAAAACAUGCCCUCAUCAGACAAACUAAAUAAAGCAGCAGUGACCAGUCACAGAGAGACAGAGAUACUGUGAUCUUUCAGACAGUUCAAAAUAGCUAUUUUGAGGAAACUCAACAAAAUUUAAAAUAACACAGAGAAACAAUUCAUAAUUCUAUCAGAUAAAGAGGUUGAAAUAAAAAGCAAGCAGAAAUUCUGGAGUUGAAAAAUGUGAUUGACAUAUUGAAGAGUGUAUCAGAGUCUUAACAGAAGAAUUUAUCAAGCAAAAGAAUUAGCAAGCUUGAAGACAAGCUAUGCCGAGAGGAGACAAAAUGAAACAAUAAGAAAAAGUGAACCACACCUGAAACAUCUAGGUUAGCCCUCAAAAGGACAAAUUUAAGAAUUAUUAGCUUUGACUACCUCAAGACAUUUAAAAAUGAAACUCUCAAUGGUCAGAGAUAAAGUGAGAAUCCUAAAAGCAGCAAGAGAAAAGAAAUAUUAAUAAUAUAGAGUGCAGCUCCAAUAUGUCUCCAGCAGGCUUUUUAGUGUAAACCUAACAGUCCAGGAGAGAGUGAUAUGACAUAUUUAAAGUGCUGAAGGAAAAAAAAAAAAACUUUUAGCUGUGCUGGAAACUAGGGACACACAGAUGCAAAUUACACACCUCAAUUCAGUAAAUAUUUGUUUAUUAUCUGUCCACUAGGUACGGGGUCUACCAAGGUGAAUUAAGGCCAGAUUUCUUUCUGUGAGGUCCUCAUAAUCCAGAAAGAAAGAAUGACAAGCAAAUGAUUAUAAGAUUAUGAUAAGUGCAUUGAUAAAUCAAAAGUAUAACCACAAGAAAAAAAUUGAAUGGUAAAUUUUUAAAAAUUUAGGUGACAAGAAACUUGGAGGUUACUUAAAAUUACCCAAGAAGAGACUUCUUGUUUCAACAUGGCUGAAUAGGAAAAGCUUCAGUCCACAGCCCCCAGCGAGAUGAACGCAGAAGUGGGUGAUUUCUGCCUUUCCAACUGAGGUACCUGGUUCAUCUCACUGGGACUGAUUGUACAGCGGGUAACCCACAGAGGGCGAACCGAAGCAGGGUGGGGUGUCGCCUUACCCAGGAAGCUCAAGGGGUCAGGGGAUUUCUCUCCCAUAGCCAAGGGAAGCUGUGAGAGACUGUACCAGGAAGAAUGGUGCAUUCCAGCCCAGAUACUGCACUUUUCCCACGGUCUUCGCAACCGGCAGACCGGGAGAUUCCUUCAGCAUUUGCUACACUGUUCUGAAUUAUUGACAUAUUUUUCUCUCAUUUAAUUCAAUCUUGAGGACAGGAGCUAUGUCUUGAUGAUCUUUGAGCCUUCUGCUCCUAUCACAGUACCCAAUGUAUCAUAGAUGUUGUAAAUAGUAGUUGAAAGAAUCAACAUAAAAUGGUAGAUAAAGGGGCUGAAACAUUUUUUCAUUAAUAAUCUUCAGGAAACACAUUUAGGAAUUGUAGCAAAUGUUAGCUGCCUACCCAACAGCCAUUCUCCUUUCUCUUUUGUUAUCAAAACCCAGGUUUUGUUGCAGCAAUGGACCCUAUGGCAUGAUUCUUAAUAGACCUAAGUCAGUCAUGGCAUCCCCCUUCUUUUCCAGUGAUCCAUGUGGGUUUGGCAUGAUGAGUCAUAGAGGGACGAUGUUGAGGCUUCAGGGAGAGAUCUUCCCUGAUAGGGAGUCACCUUCUCCCUUUUACUCCCUGCUAUGUUUACUGUUUUAGAAGGUAUAUGAAGCAUGGAACUGGAGGAGCUGUCCUGUGUCAGCCUGGAAUAAUCAAAAAGAUCAAAAAUCCUGUUUUAGGCAACAUAGCAAGACCCCAUCUCUACAAAAAAUUUAAAAACUUAGCCAGGUAUGGUAGCACAUUCCCGUACUCCUACCUACUUGGGAGGUUGAGGUGGGAGGAUCACUUGAUCCCAGGAAGCUGAGGCUACGGUGAGUUGUGAUCACACUACUGCACUCUCACCUGGGCAACAGAGUGAGGCCCUAUCCACCCAAAAAAUAAAUAAAAAUUUAAAAAUCCAGUUUUUUUUAAGAGUUUAUUCACCAACCUGGACAACAUAGCAAGACUCUGUCUCUACCAAAAAAAAACACUGUUUUUAAUUAACCAGGUCUGGUGGUAUGUACCUCUAGUCCCAGCUACUGGGGAGGCUGAGGUGGGAAGAUCGCUUGAGCCCAGGAGGUCAAGGCUGCAAUGAAUCAUGAUUGCACCACUGCACACUAGCCUGGGUGACAGAGUAAGACUGUCUUAGAACAACAACAACAACAAAAACAAACAACAACAAAAAAACACCAAGAGUUUAUUCAAGGAAAAAGCUGGGAAUGGCCAUCUGGGAAACAGACUCUAAAGAAUAGGGUCAGUGUUAUGAAGUUUAAAGUUAAGGUCUUGCUUAUAAAUGCAGAAAACGAAAUUUAGUCGGAUUAUAACAUGUUCACUGCUAAGCUGGUUUAUGAAUUAUAACAGUUUGAUUAGUUACAUUUUGUUUUCCUUACAACUUAUUUUACUUCUUAACAGCUUGUCAGCUCCUUUCCAAUUUAGACAUUGUGAGAGUGAUGAAGCCUAUUUUAUAUAUUUAUUGUGGUUUUAUUCAUAAUUGUGAGAAACUGGAAACAACACAAAUGUCCAACAGGAAAUGGGUAAGCACAGGAAAGAAGCAGAAAAGCCCAGGAAAAGAAAGGGGCAGGACAAAGGCACUGGGGAGCUUGAGUGUUGUGUAUCUUGAGUGUUGUGACAGUUCUAUAUUUCUGUGUAUUUCUCAAAACUAGAAUUGUACACCUAAAGAGCAAACUUCUCUGUUUAUAAAUUAUAACAUUUUUAACAAAGUUAAAAAAACUUAAUGUUUUCUUAAGUAUGAGGAAAUAAACUACUAAUACAAACAAUAUAAAACAAAAUCAAUUCAGAUCAGCCAUCAAACAUUAAACAUGGAGAAAUAAUCCAGUUUAUCUACUAUUGAAAACUGAAUGAAAGCAAUAUAAGUUGCUCUGUCAUUCCACUGUAUUAUUAUUUAAGGCCUUCUCAGAAACCAUAAAAGAUAGCAGCUUUGAUUUAUAAACUAGCAAUACUCUUACCAGCUAUCAAAGUAAUCAAGAGUCCUGUGAUACUGGGAUAUUUUCUUAAUACAGAAUAUAGAAUGUGAAUGUGCUUAGAGAAAGAUAAGAAGUGAGACAAUUGGGUUCUUGUAUUAGUUACAGGGAAAUACUCUGGCUCCAGUUCUUUAAAAUUACACCAAGAGCUGCCAAGAUUGAGUAGAAGAGAUGAAAACCAAUCUGGAGUAAAAGAAAGAUUGUCACAUGCUAGUGUGACAUAAGCAUGAUUCUAAAAAUAAUACAUACAAAAUUCAUUUAGCUUAUUAGAAUUAUCUUGUAGGCCACUGAUAAUUUUUCAUCAUCAUACUGUAAACAGUAGACACCUUUACUAUUUUCAGAGUGUCACUGAAUCCUCUGCAAGGUGUGUCAUCCACACUGCCAGUUAGAUUCUACAGUUGCUAUAACCUGGAUAAUCUUUGAGUAUAAUGACCUAUAAAAUGAAUUGGGAGGGCCAUCUGUGGGUCUGCUUUUAAACAGGUACUGUCCUACCCUCUUCUUUCUGAAAGUCCCUUCCAUAGAGGAUCAGUGUGUACCAUUCGUUCAAUCAGCUUCUUCCAAAGCAUUCAUUCUGAGAUCACUUGCCACUAUUCUUUACAUAUCAGCACUGCUACACACAGAGACCUGGCAUCCAGGUAUGAAAGAAUGUUUUCUGCUAUGUGAUGUAAGCCUUGCUCUGGUAAAGUGGUAAAGUCCUGCUGCAACAUGGGCUUCAGGUACAAGUUAAUAUGUCCAUGCUGAUAGUGACAAAUUUGUGAAAUAAGAUGUUCCAAAUAGCCUUAGUUGGUUGGGUCUUUAAUCUGGAAUCUAUUAAUACACUCAGAGUUUUAAAAAAAUUGGUAGAACAGCCAGUUGUCUUAAAUUGAUACAUUGCCUCCAGGCUAAAUUUUAGUUAUCCUUUGUCAUUCCAAACAUUUCUCAAAUUUCUCUUUAACUGUCUGAGGUUGAGAAGUAGUUGCCUCUUUCAAUUCUACAAGUAGAUCCUCAAACUGGUGAACUCUUUAUUCCCUUCAUUACUUACAAAAUGGUCAGUUAUUUCUCUCAGCUCAUCUCUUUCUUGUCAUAGCUUGCCAAAUGCAGCCAAUAGCAAAUAACACACAACAUUCUGUUUUCCAGCCUUCCCCCUAAGCUACAAAUGUAUUAAGUAUAUGACCUGUCUUCCAAGUUACUGUAGAUAACAAUUUUACUAAAAGUUUCAUUACUACAUAGCAUGGAUUGCUGUCUGAAACUCUGAAAAGAAUUUUCUUGCUACCUGCUGUCUCUCUUAAAUAUUUUAUGUUCUUGUUACGGCAACCCACUUUGGAUAACUAUGUCUACCUUAAGUGACGAUGACCUAGAUUUUGCGGUAGUAACAACCCUAAAUUCUCAGUAGUUCGAAACAAUAAAGAUUUGUUUGUUCCCUAUUG